UGCUCUCUGGGUGGCGAGUGGCGGACGGGUGAGGAAUACAUCGGAAUCUACUUUUUCGUGGGGGAUAACGUAGGGAAACUUACGCUAAUACCGCAUACGACCUACGGGUGAAAGCAGGGGAUCUUCGGACCUUGCGCGAUUGAAUGAGCCGAUGUCGGAUUAGCUAGUUGGCGGGGUAAAGGCCCACCAAGGCGACGAUCCGUAGCUGGUCUGAGAGGAUGAUCAGCCACACUGGAACUGAGACACGGUCCAGACUCCUACGGGAGGCAGCAGUGGGGAAUAUUGGACAAUGGGCGCAAGCCUGAUCCAGCCAUACCGCGUGGGUGAAGAAGGCCUUCGGGUUGUAAAGCCCUUUUGUUGGGAAAGAAAUCCAGCUGGCUAAUACCCGGUUGGGAUGACGGUACCCAAAGAAUAAGCACCGGCUAACUUCGUGCCAGCAGCCGCGGUAAUACGAAGGGUGCAAGCGUUACUCGGAAUUACUGGGCGUAAAGCGUGCGUAGGUGGUCGUUUAAGUCCGUUGUGAAAGCCCUGGGCUCAACCUGGGAACUGCAGUGGAUACUGGACGACUAGAGUGUGGUAGAGGGUAGCGGAAUUCCUGGUGUAGCAGUGAAAUGCGUAGAGAUCAGGAGGAACAUCCAUGGCGAAGGCAGCUACCUGGACCAACACUGACACUGAGGCACGAAAGCGUGGGGAGCAAACAGGAUUAG
Molecule: ribosomal RNA, 707 nt
Filed under: uncultured Stenotrophomonas bacterium
Lineage: Bacteria; Pseudomonadati; Pseudomonadota; Gammaproteobacteria; Lysobacterales; Lysobacteraceae
Description: bacterial SSU rRNA
Rfam family: Bacterial small subunit ribosomal RNA
Source: RNAcentral